RNAcentral lists this ribosomal RNA (582 nucleotides) under uncultured bacterium. RNAcentral's name for it is "bacterial SSU rRNA". It matches the Rfam family "Bacterial small subunit ribosomal RNA", at positions 35 to 650 of the family's 1533-position model. The record is from RNAcentral.
GCUGGCGGCGUGCCUAACACAUGCAAGUCGCACGAGAAAGUGGAGCAAUCCAUGAGUAAAGUGGCGAACGGGUGAGUAACACGUGACUACCUGCCCUCGAGUGGGGAAUAACCUCGGGAAACCGGGGCUAAUACCGCAUAACAUCGAGAGAUCAAAGCAGCAAUGCGCUUGAGGAGGGGGUCGCGUCUGAUUAGCUAGUUGGUAGGGUAACGGCCUACCAAGGCGAUGAUCAGUAGCCGGCCUGAGAGGGCGCACGGCCACACUGGAACUGAAACACGGUCCAGACUCCUACGGGAGGCAGCAGUGGGGAAUUUUGCGCAAUGGGGGAAACCCUGACGCAGCAACGCCGCGUGGAGGAUGAAGUCCCUUGGGACGUAAACUCCUUUCGAUCGGGACGAUUAUGACGGUACCGGAAGAAGAAGCCCCGGCUAACUUCGUGCCAGCAGCCGCGGUAAUACGAGGGGGGCAAGCGUUGUUCGGAAUUAUUGGGCGUAAAGGGCGCGUANGCGGUGCGGUAAGUCUGAUGUGAAAUCUCCGGGCUCAACUCGGAGUCUGCAUCANAAACUGCCGUGCUGGAGUGUG